AGUGAACGCUGGCGGCAGGCCUAAUACAUGCAAGUCGAACGGCAGCACAGUGCAGCUUGCUCCAUGGGUGGCGAGUGGCGGGCGGGUGAGGAAUACAUGUGAAUCUGCGCAGUCGUGGGGGAUAACGUAGGGAAACUAACGCUAAUACCGCAUGCGCCCUUCGGGGGAAAGCCGGGGACCUUCGGGCCUGUCGCGUUAGGAUGAGCCCAUGUUCGAUUAGCUAGUUGGCGGGGUAAAGGCCCACCAAGGCGACGAUCGGUAGCUGGUCUGAGAGGAUGAUCAGCCACACUGGAACUGAGACACGGCCCAGACUCCUACGGGAGGCAGCAGUAGGGAAUAUUGGACAAUGGGCGCAAGCCUGAUCCAGCCAUGCCGCGUGAGUGAAGAAGGCCCUCGGGUUGUAAAGCUCUUUUGUCCGGGAAGAAAAGCAUCGGGCUAAUACCUCGGUGUUCUGACGGUACCGGAAGAAUAAGCACCGGCUAACUUCGUG
RNAcentral lists this ribosomal RNA (490 nucleotides) under uncultured bacterium. RNAcentral describes it as "partial 16S ribosomal RNA". It matches the Rfam family "Bacterial small subunit ribosomal RNA", at positions 29 to 507 of the family's 1533-position model. The record is from RNAcentral.